Schizosaccharomyces pombe (fission yeast) is the source of this 867-nucleotide non-coding RNA. NCBI's taxonomy places the organism in Eukaryota, Fungi, Ascomycota, Schizosaccharomycetes, Schizosaccharomycetales, Schizosaccharomycetaceae. The record is from the annotation of a GenBank genome assembly.
GUCAUUCGUGAUGUUGAGGAUAAUAAAAAGACUCUCGUCCGGUAGGAGUAGUAUAACUACAUAAACAAACAGUGCGAACUCAGAUGUAUGGCUACUUAUUAGAAUCAUCGAAUGAAACUGAAGUAACAAUACCGGAAUUUUUUUUCGAACUUAAUGGGUCGUUACAUUGUUCGCACAUUUCUAUAUCUGUUGCAAAUGAUGAACUACUGCUAGUCUCAUCAUCUGACUUUGCACAAAGUCGUCUCCGUAAAAGGUCAAUAUCUCUAGGAUAAAACAAUUUUUGUAAGCAAAUAUAGGAAAAGCGAGGCAACAAACAUAAGGCAAUGGUUAAAACAGUAACACACCAAAAGCCAAAAGUUUGACAAGUUCGCGAAGCUGAUUUGUGGAAAGCGUAAGAGGGGCCAACUUCUGAAUAAAUAAAUGUCCAUAUCCAAAAUACACCUAUGCUGAACAUCCAAGUAAUAAGUGAUAUUAAAUUCAAUCUCUCUUGAUUCAUCAAUAUAAAAAUGUUGAUUACAAAAAUAGUAGGAGAGGAUAUAAAAAGUCCUAUGUCUUCUAUACACUCGAUGUUCCUUCCAGUCCAACUUACAAAAUCACCAAACUUAAAAACAAAUAGAGCUACCCCAAAGCAUACCAAUGAUUGAUAUAUUCCAUCUAGCAUGUAAGACCUAAAAUAAAUAUUUAGCAAACAGAAAUCUUCAGAGUUAUACUUACCAAAAUCUCUUUCCGUUCCAUUCUAGACCUAAAAUUCCCCGUUGGUAUAAGCUUGGAUUUUUCAUUGAAACAGAUGCGUCAACGUCCUGGUCAAAACAACCUGCAAUAAUUACGGGUAGUGAUGUGAACAGCAGAUUAAAAAGCAUCACGUAG